Non-coding RNA from Acyrthosiphon pisum (pea aphid), 79 nucleotides. NCBI's taxonomy places the organism in Eukaryota, Metazoa, Arthropoda, Insecta, Hemiptera, Aphididae. The record is from Rfam.
CCGUACCAGAAGUGUUUUUGACAUGGACACACGGUUUUCGCCGUUCCCAAAUCAUGUAAAUGCACUAUCUGGUACGACA